GCUUAGAGUUUGAUCCUGGCUCAGGAUGAACGCUGGCGGUAUGCUUAACACAUGCAAGUCGAACGGAGUACUUCGGUACUUAGUGGCGGACGGGUGAGUAACGCGUGAGAAUCUGCCUUCAGGAUGGGGAUAACAGUGGGAAACCAUUGCUAAUACCCAAUGAGCCGAGAGGUAAAAAAUUUAUUGCCUGAAGAGGAGUUCGCGUCCGAUUAGUUAGUUGGUGGGGUAAAGGCUUACCAAGACGGCGAUCGGUAGCUGGUCUGAGAGGAUGAGCAGCCACACUGGGACUGAGACACGGCCCAGACUCCUACGGGAGGCAGCAGUGGGGAAUUUUCCGCAAUGGGCGCAAGCCUGACGGAGCAAUACCGCGUGAGGGAGGAAGGCCUUUGGGUUGUAAACCUCUUUUCUUAAGGAAGAAGAUCUGACGGUACUUAAGGAAUCAGCAUCGGCUAACUCCGUGCCAGCAGCCGCGGUAAUACGGAGGAUGCAAGCGUUAUCCGGAAUUAUUGGGCGUAAAGCGUCCGCAGGCGGCACUAUAAGUCUGCUGUCAAAGACCGCAGCUCAACUGCGGAAAGGCAGUGGAAACUGUAGAGCUAGAGUACGGUAGGGGUAGAGGGAAUUCCCAGUGUAGCGGUGAAAUGCGUAGAGAUUGGGAAGAACACCAGUGGCGAAAGCGCUCUACUGGGCCGUAACUGACGCUCAGGGACGAAAGCUAGGGGAGCGAAAGGGAUUAGAUACCCCUGUAGUCCUAGCUGUAAACGAUGGAUACUAGGCGUAGCUUGUAUCGACCCGAGCUGUGCCGAAGCUAAC
This 810-nucleotide ribosomal RNA is filed under the name uncultured bacterium. RNAcentral's name for it is "bacterial SSU rRNA". It matches the Rfam family "Bacterial small subunit ribosomal RNA", at positions 1 to 856 of the family's 1533-position model. The record is from RNAcentral.